UACGAAGGGGGCUAGCGUUGCUCGGAAUCACUGGGCGUAAAGGGCGCGUAGGCGGCCUACUAAGUCAGACGUGAAAUCCCCAGGCUUAACUUGGGAACUGCGUCUGAUACUGGGAGGCUUGAGUGCGGGAGAGGGAUGUGGAAUUCCAGGUGUAGCGGUGAAAUGCGUAGAUAUCUGGAGGAACACCGGUGGCGAAGGCGGCAUCCUGGACCGACACUGACGCUGAGGCGCGAAAGCUAGGGGAGCAAACGGG
This 253-nucleotide ribosomal RNA is filed under the name uncultured bacterium. RNAcentral describes it as "partial 16S ribosomal RNA". It matches the Rfam family "Bacterial small subunit ribosomal RNA", at positions 524 to 776 of the family's 1533-position model. The record is from RNAcentral.